GCAACCGGCUGUCCUCCCUCUGCCGACGCCGACUCCUCCACUGUGCAGUGCCUAGCCGACUCCUUCCUUUGUCCUAGGUUCCCUCUUGUUGCUGGAUCCGAACCCUAACUCCUCUGGGUUGGGUUGUGGUCAGCCUACCCGACUGCAGCUUCUCCGGAUCUUGGCAGUAAGUUCUAUAGGAUUUGAGCAGUGUUGAGGCAUCAGGGAAUAUGGGUAAGACAUUGUUGGAGAAAGCCC
This is a long non-coding RNA of Zingiber officinale, 237 nucleotides long. RefSeq lists it as uncharacterized. Lineage: Eukaryota; Viridiplantae; Streptophyta; Magnoliopsida; Zingiberales; Zingiberaceae. The transcript has 3 exons. The record is from RefSeq and is a predicted model, not a curated record.